This 168-nucleotide unclassified non-coding RNA is filed under the name uncultured Hyaloscypha. Its description in RNAcentral is "sequence contains ITS1". Lineage: Eukaryota; Fungi; Ascomycota; Leotiomycetes; Helotiales; Hyaloscyphaceae. The record is from RNAcentral.
AAGAAUCGCCCCGUUUUUUCGAGAAUGGGUUCUAUUCCCACAACCGUGUAUACAUACCUUUGUUGCUUUGGCGGGCCGCCCUUCGGGGCGUUGGCUUAGGCUAACCGCGCCCGCCAGAGGACCCAAACUCUUUUUGUUUAGUAAUGUCUGAGUACUAUAUAAUAGUUA